RNAcentral lists this ribosomal RNA (460 nucleotides) under uncultured bacterium. RNAcentral's name for it is "partial 16S ribosomal RNA". It matches the Rfam family "Bacterial small subunit ribosomal RNA", at positions 338 to 795 of the family's 1533-position model. The record is from RNAcentral.
CCUACGGGAGGCAGCAGUGAGGAAUAUUGGUCAAUGGACGAGAGUCUGAACCAGCCAAGUAGCGUGAAGGAUGACUGCCCUAUGGGUUGUAAACUUCUUUUAUAUGGGAGUAAAAUGCUCCACGAGUGGGGUUUUGCAUGUACCAUAUGAAUAAGCAUCGGCUAACUCCGUGCCAGCAGCCGCGGUAAUACGGAGGAUCCGAGCGUUAUCCGGAUUUAUUGGGUUUAAAGGGAGCGUAGGUGGACUUUUAAGUCAGUUGUGAAAGUUUGCGGCUCAACCCUAAAAAUGCAGUUGAUACUGGCAGGCUUGAGUACAGUAGAGGUAGGCGGAAUUCGUUGUGUAGCGGUGAAAUGCUUAGAUAUCACGUAGAACUCCGAUUGCGAAGGCAGCUUACCGGACUGCAACUGACACUGAGGCUCGAGAGUGUGGGUAUCGAACAGGAUUAGAUACCCCGGUAGUC